GAUGAACGCUGGCGGCGUGCCUAAUACAUGCAAGUCGAGCGAACAGACGAGGAGCUUGCUCCUCUGACGUUAGCGGCGGACGGGUGAGUAACACGUGGAUAACCUACCUAUAAGACUGGGAUAACUUCGGGAAACCGGAGCUAAUCCCGGAUAAUAUAUUGAACCGCAUGGUUCAAUAGUGAAAGACGGUUUUGCUGUCACUUAUAGCUGGAUCCGCGCCGCAUUAGCUAGUUGGUAAGGUAACGGGUUACCAAGGCGACGAUGCGUAGCCGACCUGAGAGGGUGAUCGGCCACACUGGAACGGAGACACGGUCCAGACUCCUACGGGAGGCAGCAGUAGGGAAUCUUCCGCAAUGGGCGAAAGCCUGACGGAGCAACGCCGCGUGAGUGAUGAAGGUCUUCGGAUCGUAAAACUCUGUUAUUAGGGAAGAACAAAUGUGUAAGUAACUAUGCACGUCUUGACGGUACCUAAUCAGAAAGCCACGGCUAACUACGUG
This 497-nucleotide ribosomal RNA is filed under the name uncultured bacterium. RNAcentral describes it as "partial 16S ribosomal RNA". It matches the Rfam family "Bacterial small subunit ribosomal RNA", at positions 28 to 507 of the family's 1533-position model. The record is from RNAcentral.